GCGGGUGUAGCUCAGCUGGUAGAGUAGUGGUCUCCAAAACCAUUGGUCGUGAGUUCGAAUCUUACCGCCCGCGCAA
This 76-nucleotide transfer RNA is filed under the name Fluviicola sp. RIFCSPHIGHO2_01_FULL_43_53. Its description in RNAcentral is "tRNA-Trp". It matches the Rfam family "tRNA". Rfam says of the family: Transfer RNA (tRNA) molecules are approximately 80 nucleotides in length. RNAcentral also lists the same sequence under 2 other names. Lineage: Bacteria; Pseudomonadati; Bacteroidota; Flavobacteriia; Flavobacteriales; Crocinitomicaceae. The record is from RNAcentral.